AACCACAAGGGGCGUCGCUACAAAGCGGCUGAGAUAGUACCCUUAGAACCUGUAAGUUCAUACUUGCGUAGGGAUGUGGAU
This 81-nucleotide non-coding RNA is filed under the name uncultured Psychrobacillus sp. RNAcentral's name for it is "TPP riboswitch (THI element)". It matches the Rfam family "TPP riboswitch aptamer (THI element)", at positions 6 to 95 of the family's 105-position model. From Rfam's summary of the family: Vitamin B(1) in its active form thiamin pyrophosphate (TPP) is an essential coenzyme that is synthesised by coupling of pyrimidine and thiazole moieties in bacteria. The previously detected thiamin-regulatory element, thi box was extended, resulting in a new, highly conserved RNA secondary structure, the THI element, which is widely distributed in eubacteria and also occurs in some archaea. Lineage: Bacteria; Bacillati; Bacillota; Bacilli; Caryophanales; Bacillaceae. The record is from RNAcentral.